GGGGAAUAUUGCACAAUGGGCGAAAGCCUGAUGCAGCAACGCCGCGUGAAGGAUGAAGGCCUUUGGGUCGUAAACUUCUGUCCUUGGGGAAGAAAAAAAUGACGGUACCCCUGGAGGAAGUCCCGGCUAACUACGUGCCAGCAGCCGCGGUAAUACGUAGGGGGCGAGCGUUAUCCGGAAUUAUUGGGCGUAAAGAGUACGUAGGUGGUUUUUUAAGCGCAGGGUUUAAGGCGAUGGCUCAACUGUCGUUCGCCCUGUGAACUGGAAGACUUGAGUACAGGAGAGGAAAGCGGAAUUCCUAGUGUAGCGGUGAAAUGCAUAGAUAUUAGGAGGAACACCAGUGGCGAAGGCGGCUUUCUGGACUGUAACUGACACUGAGGUACGAAAGCGUGGGGAGCAAACA
This 403-nucleotide ribosomal RNA is filed under the name uncultured Eubacteriales bacterium. RNAcentral describes it as "bacterial SSU rRNA". It matches the Rfam family "Bacterial small subunit ribosomal RNA", at positions 356 to 774 of the family's 1533-position model. The record is from RNAcentral. Lineage: Bacteria; Bacillati; Bacillota; Clostridia; Eubacteriales.